GACGAACGCUGGCGGCGUGCUUAACACACGCAAGUCGAACGGAAAGGCCCUGCUUUUGUGGGGUGCUCGAGUGGCGAACGGGUGAGUAACACGUGAGUAACCUGCCCUUGACAUUGGGAUAAAUUCAGGAAACUGGGGCUAAUACCGGAUAGGAGCCACUGCUGCAUGGAGGGGGUUGGAAAGAUUCGGCGGUUGGGGAUGGACACGCGGCUUAUCAGCUUGUUGGUGGGGUAGUGGCUUACCAAGGCUUUGACGGGUAGCCGGCCUGGGAGGGUGACCGGCCACAUUGGGCCUGAGAUACGGCCCAGACUCCUACGGGAGGCAGCAGUGGGGAACAUUGCGCAAUGGGCGGAAGCCUGAUGCAGCAACGCCGCGUGCGUGAUGCCGGCCUUCUGGUUGUAAACCGCUUUCGCCUGUGACGAAGCGUGAGUGACGGUAAUGGGUAAAGAAGCACCGGCUAACUACGUG
Molecule: ribosomal RNA, 468 nt
Filed under: uncultured bacterium
Lineage: Bacteria
Description: partial 16S ribosomal RNA
Rfam family: Bacterial small subunit ribosomal RNA
Source: RNAcentral